This is a non-coding RNA of Hordeum vulgare subsp. vulgare (domesticated barley), 125 nucleotides long. The record is from Rfam. Lineage: Eukaryota; Viridiplantae; Streptophyta; Magnoliopsida; Poales; Poaceae.
UAUGUACUCCCUCCGUCUGGAAUUACCUGUCGCAAAAAUGGAUAGAAAUGGAUGUAUCUAAAACUAAAAUACAUCUAAAUACAUCCAUUCCUCAAACAAAUAUUUUUGGACGGAGGGAGUAAUAU